Molecule: long non-coding RNA, 1004 nt
Organism: Brassica oleracea var. oleracea
Lineage: Eukaryota; Viridiplantae; Streptophyta; Magnoliopsida; Brassicales; Brassicaceae
Exons: 3
Source: RefSeq, a predicted model, not a curated record
UGUGACCUGUUGUUUUAUCUUUUGUUUAUUUCAUAGAUGGCUUGCUUUGGGCUUCUAACCAACGUUUUGUUCAGGCCAGUUACAUGUAUAGGGUCUUCUGAACUUCGACGUCUUCUCAAAUUCUCAAUUUCCCAAAAGACCACUGCUUCGAGAAUGGUUCUGUAACGGUUCCACCAUCAUAGAAACAUUGUCGUUUAGCUUCUCAACACUGCUCUUUCACCACCUUUCUCCAUCCGCCACAAGCGCCCCUACAGUCUCCGAUCAAGCCGUAAUUAUCAAAUCUAGCAUCGCCUCCCUCAGGCUUCGAACCCCGGUAUUAGAGCCGAAGACUUUAUGCGCACCCUCAGAGUUCAGAGCCUCGAUGGAUUCUCCCACCAGAUUCGCAGCUCAAGAUUACGCCGCUAAGUACGAACGUAUUGACGUAGGAGAUUGGGAAAGUGUUGGUAGCAGCAACAGCGAUGAUGGAAAGUUGUGCUUCAGCCAGCAAUGCAAGGUCGUGCUAGGACUGGAACUGAAAAAACCCUUGCUUUUGGGAUUACUGUCAUUGGCAAAAUAAUCAAAUUCAACACUAAACACGGGCAUGGGAAAAACCCUCUUUCUUUCAUUUUGAUUCCAACAAAAGAUCUUGCUCGUCAAGUUUCGAAGUUCAAAGAAGCUCUAUCUCUCGGUGGUGCACUGAACAGAACAUUGAGCAACCUUCUGGAUACGUCAACGGCAUGUAUACAUGUCAGUGGAACGCAGGAAAUCGUCUUGUGAAAUGCAUUCUUUGUCAAAGAGAAGCACAUACAAUCAUGUCCUCAUUGUUGAAGCAGGAGUGUUCCCUGUUUUGGUGAACCUCUAUGUAUACGAAAACAACAAGGAGGUGAUGAUGUUUGCUGGUGCAGUCACUUGAAUAGUUCAAGUCACUUGAAGAAAGAUGCAGUUGCAGCAUUGUUCGAUCUAUUAAUCAUGGAAACAUAGGCAAAGCUAUUACAACCAAAAUUGUUGUAGUUCCAGCUCUUUGA